RNAcentral lists this long non-coding RNA (893 nucleotides) under Pomacea canaliculata. Its description in RNAcentral is "uncharacterized LOC112567821, transcript variant X2". The record is from RNAcentral. Lineage: Eukaryota; Metazoa; Mollusca; Gastropoda; Architaenioglossa; Ampullariidae.
GAACAACUGUAAUAAUCAUCAUGGCUUUGGUGUGGCUGCAAGCAGCAGUUGUUGACGGGUGCGGUUCGCAAAGUGGUGAUUGUAGUGUAAUAAAAGCAUGUUGCGAAGGUUUGACAUGCGUGAAACUGCCUAGGGACGAAUCUAAAGGUAAAUGCGCGGACAACGAUUGCCUCCGCAAGUAUUGGCCUGCAGGUGUCAAGGAAUGCUUGUAACGUGAAAGGAGAUUACCAAUCAGGGGCUCGAAUUGAUGAGGACUUCAGAGUGUUUCAGGGAUACAAGCUGUAAGGACAACGGUUAAAUGCCGAGUGGAUUGUCCUACAAAAUUCUCAACCUAUAAUUAUUGUUCCACUGAAGAUUGAUCAAAACAGCUAAAAGUGCAUCUUGCUCAAAGUACAAAAGAAAUGCUGCCUUAUCUCCAUAUCACCCUGUUGUGGCAAGAGGUUAAAAUUAGGAGUCAAUCUCCAAAAGAACACAUUAUCUGUUGUGAAGGCAAUGAAACGAAGAACAUCUAUAAUCAUCAUGGCUUUGGUGUGGCUGCAAGCAGCAGUUGUUGACGGGUGCAAUCCGGCAGGUGGCCAUUGUUCUUUGAUAAAACCAUGUUGCGAAGGUUUGUCAUGCUUUGAAAUUCCUGGGGACCAAUUUAGUUCUAGAUGUGCGGACAACAGUUGCAUCCACAAGAAAGGUUCUCGACGUCGCAAGGAAUGCAUAAUGCGUUCAUGACGUAACGUAAAAGAAGAUUAUCAAUCAUGGGCUAGACUUGAUGAGGACUUCAGAGUGUUUCCGGGAUACAAGCUGUAAGGACAACAGUUAAAUGCCGAGUGGAUUGUCCUAAAAAAUUCUCAAUCUAUAAUUAUUGUUGUACUGACAAUUGAUCAGUAAAGUGAAAGUUAAUC